UACGGAGGAUCCAAGCGUUAUCCGGAAUCAUUGGGUUUAAAGGGUCCGUAGGCGGUCUUGUAAGUCAGUGGUGAAAGCCCAUCGCUCAACGGUGGAACGGCCAUUGAUACUGCUAGACUUGAAUUAUUAGGAAGUAACUAGAAUAUGUAGUGUAGCGGUGAAAUGCUUAGAGAUUACAUGGAAUACCAAUUGCGAAGGCAGGUUACUACUAAUGGAUUGACGCUGAUGGACGAAAGCGUGGGUAGCGAACAGG
Molecule: ribosomal RNA, 253 nt
Filed under: uncultured bacterium
Lineage: Bacteria
Description: partial 16S ribosomal RNA
Rfam family: Bacterial small subunit ribosomal RNA
Source: RNAcentral